Molecule: long non-coding RNA, 421 nt
Organism: Megalobrama amblycephala (Wuchang bream)
Lineage: Eukaryota; Metazoa; Chordata; Actinopteri; Cypriniformes; Xenocyprididae
Exons: 2
Source: RefSeq, a predicted model, not a curated record
AUCAGUCUCUCUCUACCUCUGGAGGUGGAAUAUCAGGAUAAAAACACCUACAGCUGUGUGCUGAACAAUCCCAUCAGCCACCAGACUCAACAUCUGAACAUCACUCAACUCUGUCACACAUGUUCAGGUACGGCAGCGCUGAUGAUAUUAGCGUUUAUUGACUGAGCUGAUCUCACUUUGAUGUUUUUAUUCCUCAGUCCACUGUUGUGGUCCUACUGAAGCUGUGAUCCGAUUGGUCCUCUCUGCUCUGGUGGGCGUGGCUACUGUCAUUCUUGUGCUUUAUCACAUCAGAUCCAGAAGAGCUGAAGGAGAUCAAGCACAUAUUCACACAUCAGGAAGUGCUUAAAUCUGAAGCAGAACGCUGAACUUUAAAGGUUCUUCAAGUGUGUUUUUGUCAUAAUAAAUACUGAUGAUUAUUUGA